GAUAAACGCUGGCGGCGUGCUUCAGGCAUGCAAGUCGAACGCCCCGGAAACGGGGAGUGGCGGACGGGUGAGUAACGCGUUAGUAACCUGCCCAGAAGUGGGGAAUAACUUGCCGAAAGGCGAGCUAAUACCGCAUGUGAUGGUCUAUCUACGGACUGAUCAUUAAAGGCUUCGGUCGCUUCUGGAGGGGCUUGCGUUCGAUUAGUUAGUUGGUGGGGUAAUGGCCUACCAAGACUGCGAUCGAUAGCUGGUCUGAGAGGACGGUCAGCCACACGGGGACUGAGAUACGGCCCCGACUCCUACGGGAGGCAGCAGCUAGGAAUCUUGGGAAUGGGCGAAAGCCUGACCCAGCAACGCCGCGUGGGCGAUGAAGGCCUUCGGGUUGUAAAGCCCUUUUGCGGGGGAAGAUGAUGACGGUACCCCGCGAAUAAGCCACGGCUAACUACGUGCCAGCAGCCGCGGUAAUACGUAGGUGGCAAGCGUUGUCCGGAUUUACUGGGCGUAAAGGGCGUGCAGGC
Molecule: ribosomal RNA, 518 nt
Filed under: uncultured bacterium
Lineage: Bacteria
Description: bacterial SSU rRNA
Rfam family: Bacterial small subunit ribosomal RNA
Source: RNAcentral